GGUGUCCUCAGUGAAAUUGUCCUACAGCUGCUUGUUCUCUAAAGUCAGGAAAGUGUACUGUUCUGCUGAUGGAGACAACCUCCACUUCAGCUGGACUUCUGAUUCAAUCACUCGGUUGGAGGACGACAACAGAACUCUCGUACUGGAUAAAAAGCAUAAUGAAAAAGUCACCUGCCAUGUCAAGAAUCAAGUCAGUCAUAACCACAAUUCCUUUGAACUCCCAGAAUGUACUGAUUUCAUCAUUGUGUUUGUGUCUGUGUGGCUCUUUGAGGUCAUCAUCCUACUGUCUGUGUUAGUGGGAACAUUGCACAUCUACCCCAGAAUCUACAGGAAACGGAGAACACCAGAAAGACCAGGCAGGAAGCUCUGUAAACCUGAACAAGGAUUAGAAGAGGCAGACUGUAGCUGAUCUCCUCUAUAUGAACAGUCAUCACUCUCACUGAAACAUGAGAAAAAUGUAACCGUAACUAUAACAGAUGCUUAACAGAGAAAAUAAUCCUCAAUCCACAUCUGGACUUUCAAAAGCUAAAUCAGCCUCAUGAUUCCUGCAGAUUCAUUGACAAACUGAGUGCUAAUUUUGUUUAUGUUUUACUUCUAAUAUACUAACCAUAAUGUAAUGCUUUGAUGUUACUAUUAAAAUAAU
Molecule: long non-coding RNA, 643 nt
Organism: Hemibagrus wyckioides
Lineage: Eukaryota; Metazoa; Chordata; Actinopteri; Siluriformes; Bagridae
Exons: 3
Source: RefSeq, a predicted model, not a curated record